RNAcentral lists this transfer RNA (91 nucleotides) under Cyrtodactylus astrum. Its description in RNAcentral is "tRNA-Cys". Lineage: Eukaryota; Metazoa; Chordata; Lepidosauria; Squamata; Gekkonidae. The record is from RNAcentral.
GCCCCGCAGUGGCGCACACCAAAAUGCAAACUUGGAGACGUUCCCUAACAGGAGCCGGGGCUUCUCCCGUUUUUGAUCAGACGGGAGAAGG